UAGGGAAUCUUCGGCAAUGGGGGGAACCCUGACCGAGCAACGCCGCGUGAGUGAAGAAGGUUUUCGGAUCGUAAAGCUCUGUUGUUAAGGAAGAACGAGUGUGAGAAUGGAAAGUUCAUACUGUGACGGUACUUAACCAGAAAGGGACGGCUAACUACGUGCCAGCAGCCGCGGUAAUACGUAGGUCCCGAGCUUUGUCCGGAUUUAUUGGGCGUAAAGCGAGCGCAGGCGGUUAGAUAAGUCUGAAGUUAAAGGCAGUGGCUCAACCAUUGUAGGCUUUGGAAACUGUUUAACUUGAGUGCAGAAGGGGAGAGUGGAAUUCCAUGUGUAGCGGUGAAAUGCGUAGAUAUAUGGAGGAACACCGGUGGCGAAAGCGGCUCUCUGGUCUGUAACUGACGCUGAGGCUCGAAAGCGUGGGGAGCGAACAGG
RNAcentral lists this ribosomal RNA (429 nucleotides) under Bacteroidota bacterium. RNAcentral describes it as "Bacteroidetes bacterium partial 16S ribosomal RNA". It matches the Rfam family "Bacterial small subunit ribosomal RNA", at positions 355 to 776 of the family's 1533-position model. Lineage: Bacteria; Pseudomonadati; Bacteroidota. The record is from RNAcentral.